AACGAACGCUGGCGGCAGGCUUAACACAUGCAAGUCGAACGCAUCGCAAGAUGAGUGGCAGACGGGUGAGUAACGCGUGGGAACAUACCCUUUUCUACGGAAUAGCUCUGGGAAACUGGAACUAAUACCGUAUACGCCCUUUACUGGUGGACAGUUUAGGGGAAAGAUUUAUCGGGGAAGGAUUGGCCCGCGUUGGAUUAGCUAGUUGGUGGGGUAACGGCCUACCAAGGCGACGAUCCAUAGCUGGUCUGAGAGGAUGAUCAGCCACAUUGGGACUGAGACACGGCCCAAACUCCUACGGGAGGCAGCAGUGGGGAAUAUUGGACAAUGGGCGCAAGCCUGAUCCAGCCAUGCCGCGUGAGUGAUGAAGGCCUUAGGGUUGUAAAGCUCUUUCACCGAUGAAGAUAAUGACGGUAGUCGGAGAAGUAGCCCCGGCUAACUUCGUGCCAGCAGCCGCAGUAA
RNAcentral lists this ribosomal RNA (462 nucleotides) under uncultured bacterium. RNAcentral describes it as "partial 16S ribosomal RNA". It matches the Rfam family "Bacterial small subunit ribosomal RNA", at positions 29 to 523 of the family's 1533-position model. The record is from RNAcentral.